This is a long non-coding RNA of Mastomys coucha (southern multimammate mouse), 911 nucleotides long. RefSeq lists it as uncharacterized. The record is from RefSeq and is a predicted model, not a curated record. Lineage: Eukaryota; Metazoa; Chordata; Mammalia; Rodentia; Muridae. The transcript is spliced from 2 exons.
CACCAGCACUAUGGUCACAGGCACCCCAGGUAAGAGCAGAAGAGUCUGAGGCAGUGUCAGCAUAUGGCGGAAGGCAGCAGGGACAUGUUCCUUCAUGCCCCUGGAGAACAAUUCCACGACCCUUUUGUGGUCCUUCUCCUCAUACUGUCGGAUGUGAUAAGAAGCCAUGGGGAGACUUCUGACUGUCAAAUAUCAGUGAUCACAAGGAACAUCCAGACCUUCUUGCACAGCUUCCCUGAGCCCUGCAGGAAAGAGAGGAAGCCAGGUCAGCCCCCCAGUUCCCUCCCAGACUCUCAGAAGCCAGGGAGACUCCACUCACAGGUGUGCCUCUGUUGACACCCAAGAGGAGGCAGGACACUACUACUGGGAGAUGUGUCAGGUCAUCCUCCCCUAAUGCCUCCAUGUCCUCCCUUUUCUAGCCCUGUGUCCCUGGGACAUGUCCCAUGACCUCUCUGAACCUGUGUGUCUUCCCUUGUAGACCAUGGUAAAACAACACCUGAUUUCUAGGUUGCUUUGAAGAUUCAAUACAGGAAGCAGUGUGCAGAGCCCUCCCUGUGACCCUCCUUCCCCAGGGUCCACACAUUGAAAACUCCUGUGUCCCCAAGUUUCAACAAAUCCUGUUUCCAGCAACUGGAAAGAUUCAGUCUACAGAAAAGCAAAGGAUCAAUGCCAGCACUCUCUACUCAUGGGUCUUCAAGAGGGCUCUGGGACUCCAGACCCAAAGAGAACCAAGUCUCACCUCUCUGUCCUCUCUCGUAUUACCACAGAUCCAAGUGUCCAGGAUGGCUUCUGCCUCCGAUGACAUCCAGGAGAAUCUACCAGGGCCUGAUGAAUCUCUAUAGCACAGAUCUGGCCUGGCACUUCACUGGCUGAUUCCUGGACAAUUAUAAACCAAGGGUUAAGAGCUGAAA